GCUGCGAUGGCUGAGUGGUUAAGGUGUUGGAUUAGAAAUCCAACAAGGUUUCCCAGUGCAGAUUCAAAUCCUGAUCACAGUG
This 82-nucleotide transfer RNA is filed under the name Pelodiscus sinensis (Chinese soft-shelled turtle). It matches the Rfam family "tRNA". Rfam says of the family: Transfer RNA (tRNA) molecules are approximately 80 nucleotides in length. Their secondary structure includes four short double-helical elements and three loops (D, anti-codon, and T loops). Lineage: Eukaryota; Metazoa; Chordata; Testudines; Trionychidae. The record is from Rfam by way of RNAcentral.